This is a long non-coding RNA of Passer domesticus (house sparrow), 451 nucleotides long. RefSeq lists it as uncharacterized. NCBI's taxonomy places the organism in Eukaryota, Metazoa, Chordata, Aves, Passeriformes, Passeridae. The transcript is spliced from 3 exons. The record is from RefSeq and is a predicted model, not a curated record.
CUUCCAAGGAUGGGCUCAUCUCUUAUGACCUCACAGCUGAAGUUUCCUAAGACAUCCCCAAAACACCUUUUCUCACAGUGAACUGCCCUCUGGAUAUAGUUUAUAUUUAUCAGCAUAUUCCUGCUCAUGCACCCUGCCUGAACACAAGCUAAUGGAUAUGGAUAAACUGUGGACCAUGCUAUGUCACCAAGGCUUCCUGCACAACCUGUCAGUCUCGUGCCAUGGAUGGAAUUCUUUCUUCUCACUUUUGGUUGGUCACCACCAAGAGACUGCCGUGCGCAGACUGCAGCUUUCCUUCUGCUGAAUUAUUGUAAACUAUGGGGGCUUUUGCCUCUGUUGCUGAAAACAUCUCGUGGGAAGCAAACAUUGCUAAUGCUGUCAGUUCCCAAGGUUUUAUCGUAAAUCCUGUGCAUUUAAUAAAAAUAAAAAGCCAUGUGCAUUGGAAGAUAAA